RNAcentral lists this ribosomal RNA (482 nucleotides) under marine metagenome. RNAcentral describes it as "bacterial SSU rRNA". It matches the Rfam family "Archaeal small subunit ribosomal RNA", at positions 963 to 1448 of the family's 1478-position model. The record is from RNAcentral.
CCUUCGAUUGUGUAUAAGAGACAGGUGGUGCAUGGCCGCCGUCAGUUCGUACCGUAAGGCGUUCUGUUAAGUCAGAUAACGAACGAGACCCUCAUUGCCAUUUGCUAGGCUCUUCUCAGGAAGGGUUGCACUAUGGCGAUACCGCCACUGCUGAAGUGGAGGAAGGAGGGGGCAACGGUAGGUCAGUAUGCCCCGAAUCUCCCGGGCUACACGCGCGCUACAAAGGGCAGGACAAUGGGCUUCGACGCCGAAAGGCGAAGGCAAUCCCGAAACCUGCUCGUACUUCGGAUUGAGGGCUGCAAUUCGCCCUCAUGAAGCUGGAAUCCGUAGUAAUCGCGGGUCAACAUCCCGCGGUGAAUAUGCCCCUGCUCCUUGCACACACCGCCCGUCAAACCACCUUAGUUGGGUCUGGACGAGGGCUCGCCUUCUGGCGCGCUCGAAUCUGGGUUCAGCGAGGAGGGUUAAGUCGUAACAAGGUAUCC